RNAcentral lists this ribosomal RNA (374 nucleotides) under uncultured bacterium. Its description in RNAcentral is "partial 16S ribosomal RNA". It matches the Rfam family "Bacterial small subunit ribosomal RNA", at positions 338 to 710 of the family's 1533-position model. The record is from RNAcentral.
CCUACGGGAGGCAGCAGUGAGGAAUAUUGGUCAAUGGGCUAAGGCCUGAACCAGCCAAGUCGCGUGAGGGAAGACGGUCCUAUGGAUUGUAAACCUCUUUUGUCGGGGAGCAACGAGGCCACGUGUGGCCGAAGUGAGAGUACCCUAAGAAAAAGCAUCGGCUAACUCCGUGCCAUCAGCCGCGGUAAUACGGAGGAUGCGAGCGUUAUCGGGAUUUAUUGGGGUUAAAGGGUGGUUAGGCGGAAUGCCAAGGAAGCGGUAAAAUCGCGGGGCUAAACCUCGCUCCGCAGUUGAAACUGGCGUUCUUGAGUGGGCGAGAGGUAUGCAGAAUGCGUGGUGUAGCGGUGAAAUGCGUAGAUAUCACGAAGAACUCC